This 1424-nucleotide ribosomal RNA is filed under the name Apilactobacillus kunkeei. Its description in RNAcentral is "bacterial SSU rRNA". It matches the Rfam family "Bacterial small subunit ribosomal RNA". The record is from RNAcentral. Lineage: Bacteria; Bacillati; Bacillota; Bacilli; Lactobacillales; Lactobacillaceae.
GAGCUCUCCUAAAUUGAUUUUAUGCUUGCAUAAAUGAUUUUUAGAUUCGGAGCGAGUGGCGAACUGGUGAGUAACACGUGGGUAACCUGCCCCGAAGCGGGGGAUAACAUUUGGAAACAAAUGCUAAUACCGCAUAAUUAGUUGGAACCGCAUGGUUCCAACUUGAAAGAUGGCUCUGCUAUCACUUUGGGAUGGACCCGCGCCGUAUUAGUUAGUUGGUGAGAUAAAAGCCCACCAAGACGAUGAUACGUAGCCGACCUGAGAGGGUAAUCGGCCACAUUGGGACUGAGACACGGCCCAGACUCCUACGGGAGGCAGCAGUAGGGAAUCUUCCACAAUGGACGAAAGUCUGAUGGAGCAACGCCGCGUGAGUGAUGAAGGUUUUCGGAUCGUAAAACUCUGUUGUUAAAGAAGAACAAGUGUUAGAGUAACUGUUAACACUUUGACGGUAUUUAACCAGAAAGCCACGGCUAACUACGUGCCAGCAGCCGCGGUAAUACGUAGGUGGCAAGCGUUGUCCGGAUUUAUUGGGCGUAAAGCGAGCGCAGGCGGUUUUGUAAGUCUGCUGUGAAAGCCCUCAGCUCAACUGAGGAAGUGCAGUGGAAACUACAAAACUUGAGUACAGAAGAGGAAAGUGGAACUCCAUGUGUAGCGGUGAAAUGCGUAGAUAUAUGGAAGAACACCAGUGGCGAAGGCGGCUUUCUGGUCUGUUACUGACGCUGAGGCUCGAAAGCAUGGGUAGCGAACAGGAUUAGAUACCCUGGUAGUCCAUGCCGUAAACGAUGAAUACUAGGUGGUUGGAAGGUUUCCGCCCUUCAGUGCCGCAGCUAACGCAUUAAGUAUUCCGCCUGGGGAGUACGACCGCAAGGUUGAAACUCAAAGGAAUUGACGGGGGCCCGCACAAGUGGUGGAGCAUGUGGUUUAAUUCGAUGCUACGCGAAGAACCUUACCAGCUCUUGACAUCUUCUGCCAACCCAAGAGAUUGGGCGUUCCCUUCGGGGACAGAAUGACAGGUGGUGCAUGGUUGUCGUCAGCUCGUGUCGUGAGAUGUUGGGUUAAGUCCCGCAACGAGCGCAACCCUUAUUAUUAGUUGCCAGCAUUUAGUUGGGCACUCUAGUGAGACUGCCGGUGAUAAACCGGAGGAAGGUGGGGACGACGUCAAAUCAUCAUGCCCCUUAUGAGCUGGGCUACACACGUGCUACAAUGGAUGGUACAACGAGUCGCGAAACCGCGAGGUCAAGCUAAUCUCUUAAAGCCAUUCUCAGUUCGGAUUGCAGGCUGCAACUCGCCUGCAUGAAGUUGGAAUCACUAGUAAUCGUGGAUCAGCAUGCCACGGUGAAUACGUUCCCGGGCCUUGUACACACCGCCCGUCACACCAUGAGAGUUUGUAACACCCAAAGACGAUGGGGUAACCUUUUAGGAGC